Long non-coding RNA from Manihot esculenta (cassava), 1202 nucleotides. RefSeq lists it as uncharacterized. The transcript has 2 exons. The record is from RefSeq and is a predicted model, not a curated record. NCBI's taxonomy places the organism in Eukaryota, Viridiplantae, Streptophyta, Magnoliopsida, Malpighiales, Euphorbiaceae.
UGCGGGUAUUGCUAAACGGAUUUGGAACGGAUACGGGUAGUAAAAUUAAAACACUAAACGGAUUUGGGACGGGUUUGAAAAUUUUAUAUAUAAUCGAGUUUAAAUUUGGGUACUCCCAAUUUCGCGGGUACCCUACCCGUUGCCAUCCCUCGCUUACCUCUCAGAGAAUAAUAACUAUCUCAAGCCUACAUGAAGUGCAACUUCUUCACGUAGGCUUUUUUCAUGCCAAAAAAGGCCACAUGAAGAAGCUGGUUCACGCAAUAGAUUAUUACCGGCUCAUUUGACAGAAUUAAAGAUCAGAUUAAUAUGGAAAAUUCUGGGUGGCGAAACAAGGCACAUGCAUAGUUAGCCUAACCUGAAAUAGCAAAUAUGCUUUCAUACUUUUGUCAAUUUGCACACCUUGAGUAAAAGUCAUUAUGCAAAUUUAUUGAAAAUCAAAGAUCUAAUACAAUGUUCACUCUUUCUCUCGUUUCCAGAGAGAGUCGCUUCUGUCUAUGUUUUAGGAUUUUCUUUUAGGAGUAAGGCUCCUUUGUUUCUGCCGUUGAGCGGCCUUCCCCAUCCAGAAUAUGGGUUCACUCUCCCAUCUUUGGAUGGGUGUAAAUAUUUUUGUUGAUGUUGUUUUUUAGCAGAUUCGGCGGUUUUAAAGAGAGAGUGUUGUAGAUUUGCUCUGGUUCUUUGCUUUUUUACUUAUUUUCUGUUGGUUUUCUUGUUGCUGGUGUGUUGGGAUUUUGCAUACAGGUAUGGUUUCCCUCUCCUAGAAGAUCUUCUUGGUCUAUGUCGAAGCUUCAGUGAUAGGAGAUUAUAGUGCGGACGUUCACGGAGAUUUUCUGAAGCUCCCGGUCCGUUAAUGCCUAUAAGAGAGUGAGAUGGCCAGAGCUCUGCCUCCUCCCCAUCUCGGGUAGCCAUGGCACUGCAUGCAUCCAGUGACAAGCGUCAUCUCGGCAAUCUUCCCGUCGGCGAUGUGCGGCGCCUCUGUUUUAGUUUUUUCGGGGUUUCAUACUCGGGUCGAGGGAUCCGGUUGCUGUAAUCUGCUAAGAGUUUCUUUGUGGGCUUAUCUCUUGGGUUGUUUUUUUCUAUAGGCUUGGGCUGCUUUUCUUUUUUCUUUUAAGCUGUAUUUUUGGACCCUUAUUUCUGGGCUUAUGCCUUUCUGAAUGAAAUCUAAUUAUCUCUUAGCAAAAAAAUAAAAUAAAAUAUCUAUGCAC